CCUGGAGUUUGGCAGAGGGGGGUAGAAUUCCACGUGUAGCAGUGAAAUGCGUAGAGAUGUGGAGGAAUACCGAUGGCGAAGGCAGCCCCCUGGGCCAAUACUGACGCUCAUGCACGAAAGCGUGGGGAGCAAACAGGAUUAGAUACCCUGGUAGUCCACGCCCUAAACGAUGUCAACUAGGUGUUGGAGGGGUUAAACCUUUUAGUGCCGUAGCUAACAAGGG
This 223-nucleotide ribosomal RNA is filed under the name uncultured Candidatus Accumulibacter sp. RNAcentral describes it as "partial 16S ribosomal RNA". It matches the Rfam family "Bacterial small subunit ribosomal RNA", at positions 640 to 861 of the family's 1533-position model. The record is from RNAcentral. Lineage: Bacteria; Pseudomonadati; Pseudomonadota; Betaproteobacteria.